GAGUCAAAUAUUUUUACAGAACGAACGAGAGGGGGGAGGGGAGAGGAGCACAUUUUUCUUCAAACUUGAGAAGAAUUAUUCCACCAAUCCGUGAUCGCUUGGAAAACACGCAGGUGCAAGUAUGCACUUUCCACUACUCGAAUUAACAACCGAAUCGAUGUCGCCCCCUAUUUCUCGCUUAGUGUUCCUAACCUCUCUUGCACGGCGAACGAAUAAAAAUGGAAAGGUGGAAAAAAGGAGGAAAUGGUUGGAAAUAUACGGAUAAUUGGUUCGAGACCGAGGACUAAGACGAAAACGACGACGACGACUAUCCAUUAAGGCGUGUUUUUCCAGUCGAAGGAUAAUAUUUUGAUUGUUCCACCCUAUGCAAACACGAAUAUUCGAGCGGCAGCAAUAACAUCCCAUUUGCAAACAAGCUGGAACGCUUUUGGCCCAGCCUUGUCGUCCUUUCGAUUCCAAAAAAAAAAAAAAUUUUUUCAAAUAAGGAAAGAUAAAAUUUUCUUAGUAUCA
This is a long non-coding RNA of Apis mellifera (honey bee), 510 nucleotides long. RefSeq lists it as uncharacterized. Lineage: Eukaryota; Metazoa; Arthropoda; Insecta; Hymenoptera; Apidae. The transcript is spliced from 2 exons. The record is from RefSeq and is a predicted model, not a curated record.